This 342-nucleotide ribosomal RNA is filed under the name Escherichia coli. RNAcentral's name for it is "partial 23S ribosomal RNA". It matches the Rfam family "Bacterial large subunit ribosomal RNA", at positions 1273 to 1618 of the family's 2925-position model. Lineage: Bacteria; Pseudomonadati; Pseudomonadota; Gammaproteobacteria; Enterobacterales; Enterobacteriaceae. The record is from RNAcentral.
CUGGAGGUAUCAGAAGUGCGAAUGCUGACAUAAGUAACGAUAAAGCGGGUGAAAAGCCCGCUCGCCGGAAGACCAAGGGUUCCUGUCCAACGUUAAUCGGGGCAGGGUGAGUCGACCCCUAAGGCGAGGCCGAAAGGCGUAGUCGAUGGGAAACAGGUUAAUAUUCCUGUACUUGGUGUUACUGCGAAGGGGGGACGGAGAAGGCUAUGUUGGCCGGGCGACGGUUGUCCCGGUUUAAGCGUGUAGGCUGGUUUUCCAGGCAAAUCCGGAAAAUCAAGGCUGAGGCGUGAUGACGAGGCACUACGGUGCUGAAGCAACAAAUGCCCUGCUUCCAGGAAAAGC